RNAcentral lists this transfer RNA (84 nucleotides) under Tissierellia bacterium. RNAcentral describes it as "tRNA-Leu". It matches the Rfam family "tRNA". Rfam says of the family: Transfer RNA (tRNA) molecules are approximately 80 nucleotides in length. The record is from RNAcentral. Lineage: Bacteria; Bacillati; Bacillota; Tissierellia.
GCGGAUGUGGUGGAAUUGGCAGACACGUUAGAUUCAGGUUCUAAUGAGGUUUCCCUCAUGCGGGUUCAAGUCCUGUCAUCCGCA